RNAcentral lists this ribosomal RNA (426 nucleotides) under uncultured Desulfobulbus sp. RNAcentral describes it as "bacterial SSU rRNA". It matches the Rfam family "Bacterial small subunit ribosomal RNA", at positions 962 to 1382 of the family's 1533-position model. The record is from RNAcentral. Lineage: Bacteria; Pseudomonadati; Thermodesulfobacteriota; Desulfobulbia; Desulfobulbales; Desulfobulbaceae.
CGAAGAACCUUACCUGGUCUUGACAUCCCGGAGACCCUUAGGAAACUAGGGGGUGCUUCCAUCUGGAAGAAUCUGGAGACAGGUGCUGCAUGGCUGUCGUCAGCUCGUGUCGUGAGAUGUUGGGUUAAGUCCCGCAACGAGCGCAACCCUUGCCUUUAGUUGCCAGCAGUUCGGCUGGGCACUCUAAAGGGACUGCCGGUGUUAAACCGGAGGAAGGUGGGGAUGACGUCAAGUCCUCAUGGCCUUUAUGACCAGGGCUACACACGUACUACAAUGGCCGAUACAAAGGGCAGCGACACUGCGAGGUGAAGCCAAUCCCGUAAAAUCGGUCUCAGUCCGGAUUGGAGUCUGCAACUCGACUCCAUGAAGUUGGAAUCGCUAGUAAUCGUGGAUCAGCAUGCCACGGUGAAUACGUUCCCGGGCCUU